GAUGAACGCUGGCGGCGUGCCUAAUACAUGCAAGUCGAACGCUUCACUUCGGUGAAGAGUGGCGAACGGGUGAGUAAUACAUAAGUAACCUGGCAUCUACAGGGGGAUAACUGAUGGAAACGUCAGCUAAGACCGCAUAGGUGUAGAGAUCGCAUGAACUCUAUAUGAAAAGUGCUACGGGACUGGUAGAUGAUGGACUUAUGGCGCAUUAGCUUGUUGGUAGGGUAACGGCCUACCAAGGCGACGAUGCGUAGCCGACCUGAGAGGGUGACCGGCCACAUGGGAACUGAGCCACGGCCAAGCUCCCUACGGGAGGCAGAAGUAGGGAAUUUUCGGCAAGGGGGAAACCCUGACCGAGCAACGCCGCGUGAAGGAAGAAGUAAUUCGUUAUGUAAACUUCUGUCAUAGAGGAAGAACGGUGGAUAUAGGGAAUGAUAUCCAAGUGACGGUACUCUAUAAGAAAGCCACGGCUAACUACGUG
Molecule: ribosomal RNA, 481 nt
Filed under: uncultured bacterium
Lineage: Bacteria
Description: partial 16S ribosomal RNA
Rfam family: Bacterial small subunit ribosomal RNA
Source: RNAcentral